UCUCUCUCUAUUAUUCGGAAGGAAGUUUUUUUCGAAGAGAAGUGAAGUAGUGAACCUCUCUUUCUAAACCAGAUCUUCUUAGUUUUUAGGUUUUUCUGAAAUCAAAACCUCCAUUUUGAUAACCGUUAAUAUAAUCAAAGCCUAUAUUCUAGAAAUCUCGAUCUAUUCUCUAAAAUCUUAAAGAUUUCCUAAACCUAGAAAAUCAUUUUUUUUUCUGGAAUCCAAAAUCAAUUCAUCUGAUAGUUGAUUGUGUUGGUGAUUAUCAUCAGUGGCAGGACAUAGUUUAAGAGGCUUAUUGAUACUUGUUGUGAUAUUCGAGGUGUUUGUGUUGCUGGUAUUGAGGGAGAACCUCUUAACCUAUAUGAGCAUGUUGGAGAAGCAAUAGGUUUUGCUGCAUGGCUAAUGUUCUUCGCUCGUACACUCCAAUAUUCCGGUUCCCUGGGUUACUUUCAUUUAUUGGUUAAGAUUUAUCCAAAGGGAAAAUGAGCCAGCAUCUGGCGUGUAUAAAACCAGACGAUAUGCUCUAAGGAGGUUCGAUGAGAAGAGAGUUACAUCAAGAAACUUAUAGGAUUUGGCUCUAAUAGAUUUUCCGAGAUUUUUGAAGAAAUCGAAGACAUGGCUCCUGAGAUACAGGUGUUAUCUGUGAAUAAUGCACGUCUUUUCAGCAGUCCAAAGGCUUGUAAAGUUUGACAGCUAUUUCACAUUCAGGAUGAGGAGACUGAGCUUGCAGAUGUGGCUGCUGUUAGUGCAAGAUACAACUUAAGAAUCAUGGAAAGAUGAUUGCUAAGCAAUGAGUAGAGGAUGGAUGAAGGGUGUACUGACAGUUGAAGAACCAAAGAGCUCUGAGAACAGCCUCUGGAUGCAAUUUGACUGUGGUUAAAUUUCCCCAUACUUCGUUACAGACGGUGAAGAACUGUGAAGUGCUGAAAAAGAAUCGAGGAUUUGAAUCAAUCAUUGUUUUUGGAGUUAAAAGAGAGUUCUUAUUCUCUUGAUAUUUCUUGUCAGGGAACCAGGAGUUACACGUGUUUUUGAGAAGAAAAGGAAGUCAGGUCUCUUUAGAAACCAAAUCCGUGAGAAGAGGAGGUCGGUCUUUCCCCAGUGAGCUGCUAUGCUAGUUCUGUUGCCACCAGCCAAGGGUUCGACGGUUAUUUAUCAGAGAUCAACAACUCCACUUAAAACCAACCAAGGGGUACAGAUUUCAAUGGAGAUUUGGGUCAAAUGCUGGAGUUAAGAAUCAGUCGAGAGAAGCUGUUGAAGACAUGGAUUUGGGAUGAAUCAGUAGCUUGAGUUUGUGUGGUGGUUGUAACUCAAUAUUGCAGGAUGAAUUGGGUGCUAAGUGAUGAACAUCUGCUGGAGUUUCAAGAUUAAUUGAACCAUAGAAUGUAAUUGUGCUGUCGGUGGUUAAAUGAGGACCAAAUGUGAACACAUGUGAAUGUUAAAUGGUUUCUGAAUUAUGGGUUUACUGUGAAUUGAAUUUGCAGGUGUUUAGUGAUUUUAAAAGCUAUAGAACUUCAAUGCUACAACAAGAUGAGAAUGGUACAUCAGCUGUUCGAUAAAAGGCCUGAAUCGUCUUGUUGUCAACCAACAGUCUCUCCGCAAGGGUUGUUGCUGCAAUGGUUUAUGUGGCUGCUUGCAAUAUUCUGGUGUCUGCACUGGAUUGAGCUGAGUCUUAGAAGUUGGUAAGAAGGAAGAGGGUUAUUGGCAGUUGAUACAGAGAACGGCAACUGAGCUGAAAUGGGUUUUUGAAUCUGAAAAGUGCGGUUUGGUUUGAGCUUGUUCUGUGAAGUCAAAUCAAAAAAGGAAGUGGUAUGAGUGUUAAAGUUGAUGUGUGAUGCUGUCUGAGCUGUGAUUCAAACUUGUGGCAGUCUGAUGGAGUUUACUAAAACUCAGUUGAGAAGAGAGCAAGAUAGACAAGGACAAGGAAGUUUAUGUCAUUGAUAUCAUGGGUUUGUAAAUGGAAGCAAAGUUACUGGAAUUUGCGGGGGUUUUGGUUGAGUUUUGAGAUUGUGUUGCUGCCAUGAGACGGUGGAUUGUUUGCCAUGGUGCAGGUGGUCUGUCUAACGGAGUUUGGAGCUGGUUUUGAAGGCAAGGAGGGAACAUAAGUUAACCUUGGCUGGAAUAUGGAGUUGCUAGGAGGUCCAUAAGCUGAUCACUAACCAAGUGUUGCCGUAACUGAAGCAGUAUGCCCUAGUCUGUGCAGCUAUUAUCCAUGGUCUUGUGAGCAUCGAAUGAUUUGUGUUUGGCAUAAGGUAGGACGUGAUUUAGAAGGCUACAGGUUAUGAAGAUUUGGGUACCAGCUAGUCUGGAUAUUAGAUAGAGAUGUUGCUGAUAGUUUUGGGUUGGUGAAUGGUUGAGAUUUUUCUGCGUGGAUAUUGUGUGUAUGUUUGGAAUUGUGGUUUAGCCAUCCUAUUCGAACUUGCAGGAGAAAGAAGCUAUAUAAGCAUGAAGAAAAAUACAGAGGAAACCUACCUUGACAUCACCGUUUUGAUGUUUGCAAAGUGCUUGAUAGAGAUCCUGAAAGAGCUUGCCUGCACCUGUUCUACACAGCAGCAACUUGUUUGCUGCCUGGGUUUAAUCUCAACUUUUCUUUCUUUUAAUCAUCUUUAAUCCGUAUAUCUUAUUUUUGAGAACAAUUAUUAUUUUGAGUAGCUAAAACUAUCUUUGAUUGAGGACAAUUUCGAAGCCCGGAAUACGGAUUAUUAACUGAUAUGCAAUAGCAACGGAAAGCAUGAACUUGCAGGAAACAUUCAGACAUCGAUGGAAGACCUUGAAAAACUUUAUGUGGGAAAAGUUGGAGAAAAAUUUCAUAUACAACAUGAAUAGGUUCUUGCUUGAAAAUUUGUUCAGAACUGUGAUGAUGAAUUUUUGACGUUCGAGUUGGAUUACAAUAAGGGUAGUUGUUCUACAAACUAAAAACGCAAGGAAAGCAAGUGAAGAUAUUUUAUCGACUUAUUCUAUACCUACAGAUAUCAGUUUUGCUAGAAUUCACAUUGCACACUCGUUGAAUGGAGAGAUUGCGUUGUCUUACUUCUGUAGAAAUAGCCUUUAAUUCUGAACAUGAAAUCCUGUCUCGGCAUAUAUAAUUCUGCUAUUCAUCGAAGAAUUUAGUAGUGGAGCUUCAGCAGGCUUGGGUUGCUCUUGCCGUAUAGCAUUCUACCUGAGAAUUUUAUUCGAUCACAUCGACUCU
Long non-coding RNA from Papaver somniferum (opium poppy), 3187 nucleotides. RefSeq lists it as uncharacterized. Lineage: Eukaryota; Viridiplantae; Streptophyta; Magnoliopsida; Ranunculales; Papaveraceae. The record is from RefSeq and is a predicted model, not a curated record. The transcript has 12 exons.